UACGUAGGGUGCGAGCGUUGUCCGGAAUUAUUGGGCGUAAAGGGCUCGUAGGCGGUUUGUCGCGUCGGGAGUGAAAUCCACUGGCUUAACUGGUGGCUUGCUUUCGAUACGGGCAGACUGGAGGUAUGCAGGGGAGAACGGAAUUCCUGGUGUAGCGGUGAAAUGCGCAGAUAUCAGGAGGAACACCCGUGGCGAAAGCGGCUCUCUGGGACGGUACUGACGCUGAGACGCGAAAGCGUGGGGAGCAAACAGG
Molecule: ribosomal RNA, 253 nt
Filed under: uncultured bacterium
Lineage: Bacteria
Description: partial 16S ribosomal RNA
Rfam family: Bacterial small subunit ribosomal RNA
Source: RNAcentral